RNAcentral lists this ribosomal RNA (383 nucleotides) under uncultured bacterium. RNAcentral describes it as "bacterial SSU rRNA". It matches the Rfam family "Bacterial small subunit ribosomal RNA", at positions 28 to 412 of the family's 1533-position model. The record is from RNAcentral.
GACGAACGCUGGCGGCGUGCUUAACACAUGCAAGUCGAGCGGUAAGGCCCUUUCGGGGGUACACGAGCGGCGAACGGGUGAGUAACACGUGGGUGACCUGCCCUCAGCUCUGGGAUAAGCCUGGGAAACUGGGUCUAAUACUGGAUAUGACUCCACGGUGCAUGUCGUGGGGUGGAAAGCCUUGUGCGGCUGAGGAUGGGCCCGCGGCCUAUCAGCUUGUUGGUGGGGUGANGGCCUACCAAGGCGACGACGGGUAGCCGGCCUGAGAGGGCGACCGGCCACACUGGGACUGAGACACGGCCCAGACUCCUACGGGAGGCAGCAGUGGGGAAUCUUGCGCAAUGCGCGAAAGCGUGACGCAGCAACGCCGCGUGGGGGAAGAA